This is a long non-coding RNA of Dermochelys coriacea (leatherback sea turtle), 3658 nucleotides long. RefSeq lists it as uncharacterized. Lineage: Eukaryota; Metazoa; Chordata; Testudines; Dermochelyidae. The record is from RefSeq and is a predicted model, not a curated record. The transcript is spliced from 3 exons.
UGUGUGGAAGGAUGCCCAGAGCUGGAAAGAGACAGAGUGGUGGGGUGUGGCGCAGGAGGGAAAAGGGGUGGUGGUUGGAGGCCAAGCCCUAUCAGAGGGGGGUUGGGUAUGGAGGCCUGCAGGGAAUGGUGCAUGGAGGGGGGCUACUCACUGGAUGUAUUGGCUGCAGCUCCUGCAUGUUCAGGCUCAGCUCUCUGUCACCCUAGCUUGGUGGGGAGCUGUGCAGAAGAGUACAGUCUUGUGCUAUGAGAGAUGUAGAAGGGCCUUUUUCUGUGUUUCCCCUAGCCGGAGGGGGUGCAUGUGUCUACGCUGGGGCUGAGCUGCUGCCUCAGCUUUAGAUAGGCUGCCCCAGCCCAUCCUCGUGCUGCCCAAGGUGCCUCUUAUUGUACCCUCUGAUUUCUCUCUCAUCCUUGCUGCCCCAGCUUUCUCCGUGCCACCCCACACAGUGAGCCAAGGCAGGAGCACCUGCUAAACACGAAGGUGUUACAGUUAAGAGAUGUGGCUCCCACAUACACCCACCUGGAUGGGAGCUCUUGUCUGUGCAAGCUACAGAAGCUGCUAGUUCUGAAGGCAGCAUUUCGUGACUGAGAUGUCAGAGACUGAUUGUAAAUCAAACAAAUCUCAAAAGGGGCGGUGUUCUCUUUAGACAGCUCUGGGUCACUCUGGAGACGCUUCUGUAAUCUAAUUUUACAGAUGAAGGAUGGUCACAAGGAAGACCUUGCAGUCUUAUAUCAGAAUGCUUUGUUGAUUGUAGUACGUCCUGUUGUCAGAUUAAGAGGUGGGGAGGAGGUUCUAGGGUGCCAAUAAGGUAUUUCUUUACCUUUUGCCAGGCAGAUUUCUGAAAUGAGGUGCCAAAUAUGUGUUGGCAAAGCUAACCGUCUGCGUCAAAUAUUGGCUCCACUGGUAUUUAGCUCAUGGUGAAACCCCACACUCGCCUCUGCGUAUGAAUGGACUUAUCAAGGACAGGGGCCAUUUUCACUAGGAUCAGUGUGCAAGACUCAGUCUGGCACUUCAUGCCUCAAUCAUUGUGAUAUUACAAUUUGCUCCUUGGUUAAGCAUAUUUUAUCAUUCAUUGAGACUUGAAGCAUCAAUAGGCUCUUGCUUUAUCUACUCCUCCCCUUCUUCCCCCCCCCCCCCCAAAUAAAAAGGUAGGAUGAAGCCCUAUUGAGAGGGUUAUAACAGCCCAUGAACAAGUUUUAAAACUUCAGCACCAACAAAAAUGGCAGUCUAGUGGUGUUGCCAUCUGUAGCCUGGCUGAAGGCUGUUUUGGUCUCAAUUUUUGUAGCUUGCAGAUGAUUUUGUGUUGAUCAAAGCAAAAGUGUGCUGAGCUCCAGGGCAAGGAUGGUCUGAAUAACCACCAAAUAGUGACUUGGGGGUGCAUUGAUAAUCUCUUAAAUGAGGUGCUUGGCUCUCCCAACUGGAGAAAAACUGCAACAAGACCCAGUUAGGAGGGAACUAGUCUUUCAUCAAAGCUGAGGGGGUUGUUUUUAUUCCUGAGCUUCAUAGGCUCUGAAAUAAUAUGUAUUUACUAAAUAGACCUGAAAAAGAUCAGGGGGAAGGCCACAUGUUUGAAGCAUAAACUUAAAAGAAGCAAAACAAAUUCAUUGUUAAUAAAAUUGUCUUGAAGUGAUCAGAAUUAUAUUUUCCCUCUUUUUAGAGUUUAUGUAAUGAUUAUAUCACAAGACUAAGAGCCUCUACUCCUGAUUUUUUCUUCUUGUCUUAUGACUUGAUCUGACCUUGGAAAAGUCAUUUUAUUUACCUUUCUACGGCAGUUUCCACAAUGACUAAAGUUAUGUACAUUUUUAAAGAAAUUAAUGUUUGUUAAGAAUUUUAGGUUUAUUGGAUGAAGGAUACAUAAAUUGAAUUUUAUUUUAAAAAUGGCCAAAUAUCCUCUUCAGACAUUGUGAACAAAACUGUCUUAGUCUCGGAUUUUGUGCAAAGUUUUGUCCAAUGAAUUUUGAUCACUAAGUUAUAAGCCUUGUAAAGCAGAGUUGCUCAUGGAAAUUAAAUAUUUUAGAACCUUAAUUAGAGCUGUGCCAUAUACAUAUUUUUUAAAGGAGUGCAAAUAUAUUUUCUUUUACCUAGCACUUUGACGAAAGCUAUGAUGAAAAGUGCUUCAUAAAAGGUAGGUAUUUAUUAGUUCCAGAUGAUAAAAUCAUAUAAGAAAGUACAAACUUCCUUUCUGUACAUUUGAAUAAAGUUGUUUCAUAUCUUUAAAAUCAACAAAAAAAAAUUAACUGCUAUGUAAGUGUGAUCACACAAAAAUUCAGCAAGAAACAAAUGAAAUUCCUUGGUUUUUUUUUUUCUUCCAUCCUUCCUCUUAUUAUAAAGAUUUCAUACGUUUUGAAAAGCAGAGCACAUAGAUUAAUUUUUGACAGUUUCUCCCAGCACAGACCAAGGGCCCGAACCUAAAAGAGAGCACACUUUCACAACUGUUAAUGCAUUUCAGGUAACAGUAGUUGAAGAUCUAGCUUUGUAAACAGAAGCUGCAUUUUUAUGUCAUGCCUCAGUAUGGUCACUGAAAAGUUUUUAUUAGUUUUAAAACGGAAGAAGAAACCAAAGUAAAACCAUUUAAAAUAGUAUAGCCUUGAUUAGUUCACUUCAAUAAUUAAGGGCUCAAUUGUGUUGCCUUUUUAAUAGUAAAACACUUCAACUGAAGCACAGUUUAACCCGAAUUGAAUAGGAAAUCGUCAGGUCAGGAAACAACUUCCAGAGCAGUCCAUGAAAAGAGGUUCUGACAGUAAAGGGAAAAAAUGAAAUCCAACUCCAUCACAAGCAAGAAAUGAGCAAUCGCUGAUUUAAAGUUUGAGUGUAAGUGUAUAUAUACAGGAAUGGCAGGAACUAUGGCCAUAUGUCUUGUCUGUUCUUGAUUCUGCCACAGGCUCUCUCUGUGCUCUUCGAAGAGUCAACUUCUGUGUGCCUCAGUUUUCCCCCUUUGUGAAAUGGGGGAAAUCUACAUGAGAGGAGAAUAUGCAAAGCACUUUGAGAUCCUUGGAUGGAAGGCUGCUUAUAAAUGCCAGGACGAGUCUGCUGGGUUAGCAAGGUGGUAACAGCAUAUAUGCUACUAAAUUUGAUACAGAGCCAGUCUUUAUUCUGGACUGCUUGGUCUUGCAACAUCCAUACCCAAAAGAUUUUCUUGCUCUUCUCUGGACAUCUUUCCUAAUGUUUGUCACCCAGAACUGGAGACAACUGAGGUCUCACUGAUAGUGAGUAGAGUGUCUCCCGUGUCUUACAUAUUGUCAUGGUCUCACAGGACUUGUGCUCUCUCUCUGCUCCGUAUGGGAACCCCGUUACAGCCCUUUACGGGGGUCCACUCUCUCUUGGAGAGGCCCCUCCGCCUCCUGGAAGUGCACCUCUCUGAGCCUUAAGCAUGCCUGUCUCUUGCUGUGAGCCCCUUCAGGGGGUUCACUCACUCUGGAUCCCCAGGGCCUCCACUCCCAGAGGGAAUAAUGCAACCCCAAUCUUUAGACUGCAGUAACUCUCAGCCAGAGUAAAAUAGAAGGGUUUAUUGAACAUCUGAACACAGUAUAGGAGGCUCCCAGGGUCCUCAGGUCUAGCAAACCUCAACACAGUACAUCUAUGUCUCUCCCGCAGCCAGGUGGGCUCUGGUCUCUUCCCAGUACAGCUGCCCCCUCCUUCCAGCUGACCAUCCUGUAUC